CUGGUUAAGAGGCUGUCCAAGUAAAUAUCAGGCAAAUCCUAUGAUAUGGGUGGCACAACAUAUUUUUUUCCCCAUUGAUUUUUUUGGUUCCAAUGCAAUGUUUAUAUCAUACAAAGGAUAUAUAUGUCAAAGAUAUUUUUGAAUCAACAGUGGAUGGCUCAGAAAAUGAUUUUAAAGUUUACUAACAAUGCAACAAAAUUUUGUACAAAAUGAAGAGUUAUCUCCCCUUUUCAAUGAAUUUUCAGUGCUUUCUAUGUAUUUUUUUUCUCUUUAUUUGUUGUAGUUAAUAAAAAAAAAUAAAUUUAACUUUGAGAAAGAAUGAAUUUGUGAUAUGAAAUAGAUGAAAAAAAUUGAAAACAAAAUAUGUCAUGUGCCAUCCACUGCCUGG
This 388-nucleotide long non-coding RNA is filed under the name Mytilus galloprovincialis (Mediterranean mussel). Lineage: Eukaryota; Metazoa; Mollusca; Bivalvia; Mytilida; Mytilidae. The record is from RNAcentral.